RNAcentral lists this microRNA precursor (104 nucleotides) under Marmota monax (woodchuck). Lineage: Eukaryota; Metazoa; Chordata; Mammalia; Rodentia; Sciuridae. The record is from RNAcentral.
ACAAAAAUCAUUUGAGGAAUUAUUAGAAUGCAUAUUCUGAUUAGAAUGGUCUGGCAUGGGGUCUGAGAUUCUGAAUUUCUAUCAAGCUUCCAAAUGAUGCCUGU